UUUCUGAAAUGAAAGUAGUGAUCAUGCUGAGUCUAAUAAACUCAGGCAAAGACGACUAGUGCCACAGAGACGAGAAUUGUGAAACGCGGUAAACUCCAUGAGCU
Molecule: non-coding RNA, 104 nt
Filed under: Mycoplasmopsis lipophila
Lineage: Bacteria; Bacillati; Mycoplasmatota; Mycoplasmoidales; Metamycoplasmataceae
Source: RNAcentral